AACAAACGCUGGCGGCGUGCCUAAUACAUGCAAGUCGAACGGGGAAAGUCUUCGGAUGAGUACUAGUGGCGCACGGGUGAGUAACGCGUGGAUAAUCUGCCUUCGAGUCGGGGAUAACUAGUCGAAAGAUUAGCUAAUACCGGAUAAGACCACAGGAACUGAGGUUCUAGGGGUUAAAGGUUUUUCGCUUGAAGAUGAGU
RNAcentral lists this ribosomal RNA (200 nucleotides) under uncultured bacterium. RNAcentral describes it as "partial 16S ribosomal RNA". It matches the Rfam family "Bacterial small subunit ribosomal RNA", at positions 29 to 230 of the family's 1533-position model. The record is from RNAcentral.